Molecule: ribosomal RNA, 495 nt
Filed under: uncultured bacterium
Lineage: Bacteria
Description: bacterial SSU rRNA
Rfam family: Bacterial small subunit ribosomal RNA
Source: RNAcentral
GAUCAUGGCUCAGGAUGAACGCUAGCGGCAGGCCUAAUACAUGCAAGCCGGACGGCAAGUUGAGUAGCAAUACUUGACCUAGAGUGGCGUAAGGGUGCGUAACACGUAUGCAAUCUGCCCACAGCCGGGAGAUAGCCCUCCGAAAGGAGGAUUAAUAUCCCAUAGGAAGAUGAGAUGGCAUCAUUUUAUUUUUAAACUACGGGGGCUGUGGAUGAGCAUGCGGUUGAUUAGCUAGUUGGCGGGGUAAAGGCCCACCAAGGCGAUGAUCAAUAGGGGACCUGAGAGGGUGAUCCCCCACACUGGCACUGAGAUACGGGCCAGACUCCUACGGGAGGCAGCAGUAGGAAUAUUGGACAAUGGGUGUAAGCCUGAUCCAGCCAUGCCGCGUGCAGGAAGAAGGCCUUCUGGGUUGUAAACUGUCUUUUGCCGGGGGAUAAAAGAUCCAUGCGUGGAGAAUUGAAGGUACCCGGUGAAUAAGCCACGGCUAACUACGUG